Molecule: unclassified non-coding RNA, 455 nt
Filed under: Hevea brasiliensis (rubber tree)
Lineage: Eukaryota; Viridiplantae; Streptophyta; Magnoliopsida; Malpighiales; Euphorbiaceae
Source: RNAcentral
GGGAUCUGCAUGCGCAAGCUCACAUGGGGAAGCUGCCUAUAGAGACAGGUGUAGGGCAUCAUCGGGUAUCUGGGAGGAAGAAGAUGGAGACACAUUAUUUACCGGACUUCUGAAUCAGAACCAGAACACAUCAAAUGAAAACCAUAAUCUAGGCGGAGAAAAUUUGCAGAGUAAUGGUGAUAAAGCUAUUUUGAACAAUGUAUUAUCCUCUCCUGAGGGUAUCCGUACUAAGAUUAUCUCCAAGUCGGGGUUUUCCCAGUAUUUUGUGAAAAGCACAUUGAAAGGCAAAGGAAUCAUCUGCAAAACACAGUUACCCCGAGUAUCUGCUAGUGAGUCUCGAGGACAGAUUCAUUCGCAGUGUACUAAUGCUUCUUCCACUGUUGCAAGCAUGGAUGCAUUUGUUAAUCCCAACGUCUAUCAUGAUGGGAUCAGUUUAAGAGAACGGCUGAAAGCUG